RNAcentral lists this long non-coding RNA (14237 nucleotides) under Aquilegia coerulea. Its description in RNAcentral is "long non-coding RNA (ACOE_LNC000654)". Lineage: Eukaryota; Viridiplantae; Streptophyta; Magnoliopsida; Ranunculales; Ranunculaceae. The record is from RNAcentral.
CAGACUCCAAGAGAUAACACAGCUAUUAAUACACGGUGUCUAUAUUUUUAAUUGCACACAGUCUAUUACAAACAUGAACACAAACAAACUGUUUUGCAUAAGUUGAUGCCCAUGGUGAAUGAGCUGCAAAGUUAGUACAAAUAACGUUAAGGUGAUGGAUAUCUUCAGUAAAAUUUAAGAAUACAUGAGAGGAAUGUGAGAAAUCAAUCCUUUAAUAAGAGAUUAAGAGUUAAUUGAAAAGUAAAAUUAAAUUGAACAAGGCAGAGCCUAGAGGUUAAAGAUACAAGAGAAGAAUGUGAGAAAUCACACUGUGAGCAAACAAAUAAAUACAAACAGAUUACAGAGGUAUCACCAGUCCUUUAACAACCCCAUCACAAUUGCAAAAAAGCUGUUGGCCCAAGUCAUACUACUUUAUCGUUUACGUCCCUAUAAAACAGCCAUUCCAGGUUAUAACAGGGAAAUCAUAUUUAACAAAAAGUAAAGAAAAAGUUCACAAAUCUUCAGAUGUGCUUCACAACACCAUGGCCAUAUUGAGUUUGCACUCUUAAUUACACACUCAACCUUCACGCAACAAAUAAAAUGCAGGCUCAGAACUGAAAUUGUGUUACUCAGGAAAUUUAAAUCACCUAACAUUCUUCAAGUUCUAUGUGUAUAUAUGCUAUGGUUCAAUGUUCGGAAAAGACUGAUUACAAGAAGCAUGAAACUCAUUGCUGGUUGAAAUCAAUUUUGAGUUGGAACACGGGGACAAUGAAAGGAAUGUAACUAGAAAAAUAAUUUGUCUUUUAUUCAAUUGGAGUAUCUCUAACGCAUUGUGUACAUUAGGUUUUCCUAUUUUCUGGUUCCCUAACUCGUAUUAUCCUAUAGGCAAGAAGAUAUUGCAUAUAAGACUUUUGUUAUUUUCUUUCUCCCAUAGGAAAGAACGAACUGUGUAUUAAAAGUAAGUCAUUGAUAAAUAUAAAGAGUUUAGAUCAGGUGGCUAUAUACAUUAGGCAGUGGCUUGCGUUUCUUAUUUAUUCUUUCUCAUAUGCAGAAAGAAGUUGCUUAUAAAUAGUAUAAAGAAGGUAAAAUGAUUAAAAAAUACAACGUACUUUCACAAAUUUUUCACUUUAUACAAUGUACUAAAAAUCACGCCGAAAUAUCAAUGUACUUUGAAAAAAAAUUCACAUUAUACAAUCUGUCUAAAAUUGGCUAACGGACUACUUACGUGGCUAAUAAUUAUCUACAUGUAUUUUUUUUUUAAGAAAUGUUGAGUUGUAAAAUUAAAACCAACACAUCUACUUUAAAGCGUGUCAUCAGAUCAUGUCAACAAAUGUUUACAUCUAAACCGUCUAUUAAUCCCAAGAUGUUAGAGAUAUAGAUGUAUUAUUUUUUUUUAGUUGUUAUCUCUAUGAUAGAAAAUAUCAAACAUAGGAAACUAUGAAACCCUAAAUCAACAUUUCUUCCAUCUCUCUUUCUCAUGGCAACAUUGAACCCUAAAUCUUCUCUUUAAUUCUUCAAACCCUAAUUUUAAUUAAUCAUUUUCUCACAACUAAAACCCCUACUUUCAAUCAAACACUAAUGUAUGGUGAAUUGGUGAAUCUCAAGAAAGAAUCGGUGUGGAACAAUCUUGUUGUGUGUGUACAAGAAAAAUCUUCUUUCAAGUAAGUAGUAGUUAGUUUAACACUAAAAGAUGAAGACACAAAAGCUAGGGUUUGAAAUUGAAUUGGAGAUUUGAAUUGAGGAUUUACAGAUUUGGGGAUUUUUACAAUUGUUGAAUUAAAUUGUUAAAAUAUGGAAGAAGGAGGUCAAUCAUGUGAGAAACAUGUGCCUCAUUUGAUUUGUUGGAAAUGUUUUGUAAAUUUUUUUUUUUUAAAAUAUACGUAGAUAAUUAUUGGCCACGUAAGCAGUCUGUUAGCUAGUUUUAGACAGAUUGUAUAACGUGAAAUUUUUUUCAAAGUACAUUGAUAUUUUGACGAUAUUUUUAGUACAUUGUAUAAAGUGAAAAAUUUGUGAAAAAGUACGUUGUAUCUUUUGAUCAUUUUACCUAUAAAGAAUUUUAGCAAUUGUAACAUUAAAAGAGUUUUGACCAUGUGAUCCUAUAUAUAUUACACCACUGAAUCGCUCCAUCCCUUUUUCUCGUCUAAUAUGUAUUAAAAUAUUAAAUUUUAAUGAGCUUUCAUUCAUAUGCAGAAACAAAUUGCGUAAAUUAUAAACAUAAAAAAAAAAAAAUACACAACAACAACAACAUUCGCAUAGAUUAAAAUUAUAGAAAAACCAAAUUUUAGGCAUUAGAGAUUGUUUAGAAUAGGAUUUUCUGACAAUUUCAGAACGUUCUAUCCUCCUAUAUCCUUUCUAGCGCUAAUGUGCAUUCUAUCCCUCCUGCUCUGUACAACCUCCUAUAUCCUUUCUAGCACUAAUGUGUAUUCUAUCGCUCCUGCUCUGCACAAUGCAUUAGUCUUAGAGAUGCUCUUAUUCUCAUUUUUUUUAAGUUGUCAUUCUAAUGUUACACUCAAAUUCAGCAAAGAGGCACUAACAAGAGUUGCAUUUGUGUGAUUUUGUCAUUUAAGUGUACAAGCUAGCAAUUUGACAACUAGAGUUCUUCACAAUGGUUAAUGGUUAUCUAGAUGCAUGUCUAUGUAUACAACUGGCACAACCAACAUAACAUAAAACAAUGACACAAAAAAAAAAACAGUUGCAUACCGUUGAAAUGUGAUGUUGAAUUUAGCACUCCAUCUUCACCAUUGUACCUUAGUAGUCGAUUUGAAUGGGACAAGACUCGGAAUGUAAGACAUUAUUUUAAGAGGUGCAUUUUCGAUUCCACGAAUCUUGAGCUUUCUAGCUGUUCUUUGUUUUGAAUCAUAAAUAACUAAAUGGAUGCUAUCAGAGAUUAAAAUCUUAUCACUGUUGAAGAAGUGCAAUGGUAUCACCCGACUACCAAUUUCGUCAUUCUUGUUAAGGAUGGUGCGUGACCUCAAACGGCAUACCGAAGGAAAAAGUGUUUCAUCAAUGGCAAAUUGUUGAGUCCAUGAAUCCAUUAGACCAUAAUUGUUCAUUGCCCAAAUUUGAAUAUUACCAGUAGGGAAAUAACAUAACAUAGAAAGUUUUCCUCUCAGAAUCCGAACUCCGGUAAUACUAGCUCUUUCCCUAAACUGAUUGGGUGACAACAGCUGUUGAAAACUUGUCCCCUUCAUGUCAAAAGAGACUAUAGUUUCAAUCUCAAGUCUAUCUUCAUGAACUGCUACCCAAUGAAGAGAUCCAUUAAGGUAAAUCCCAGGAAUAUCUCCAUUUAAAAUUCUGUAAGGGACACCAAAGGUACUCAGACAUGUAGCUUGUCCAUCAUUAUUCAGGGAGUAAACAUCAACUAGAGAAUCACAGUCAUCAUAAAUAGACAAACUGCGGCGAACAUUUACAAGUUUGUAUUCACCAACAACAGAAUCAUAAGCAAGGCCAAAAGCAGAACAAUCAUGAACAUAUAAGGAUUUUCCUACAUUAAAAAACUUGCACUCUUUAGUACAAGGAUUCAGUAGGCAUAACUUAGACGGUGGCAUACACAAGCAAAUAAACCCAUUACAAGUAGCAAAAACUUCGGUUUCAGUACCAAUUUCUUUAAAUGGAUUUAUGAUAUGUUCUGCAUCAACUUCCUCAUCAUCAAAAGAAGAAAAGGAAGAAGAAUAAAACUGUGUCCUUCGUUUAAUACUAUAAAUAGUUGAUAAGAAAUUGGGACAAUUUAUUUCCAUUGAUCGAUUCAAGUGGGUUUGAAUAAAAUUAGAAAAAGGAUCUGUCAUCAAAUCGCACCAAGGUUUGUAUACCAACCUGAAUUGUUCUCUGAGUGAUUUUGCUGGAAGCCUCGUGAGAAUCUCGAAGAUUAUAUCAUCAUGAAUAAUAGCAUCUGUUGUUGACAUUAUUGUUUUUUGAAUUGCAAGAUUCUCUUCUUCGAAUCGUGAACCAGUAUGUGUUGUUGACAUUUUUUUCUAAAUGUAUUUAGGGUUUCUGAGAAUUUUUAGAUCGAGAGAGCUAUCCGCCGCCACUCUUUCUCUCUAGCAGUAUCGGGUUUUAUAGAUCAAAAGAAUUGGGCCGUAGGACCAAAUUCCAAUUCUCUUCUUUCAAGUUUCAACAACUCAUAAACGUCCGUGAGCCCGUAACCAGAUCUACAGACAGAAACUUUGGCUAUGAACUCUAUAACGUACAGGAGCGAAAUAUUCUCAGCAAUAUUAUCUAUGCAAAUUUUGAGGACCAUCGUUAAUUCAUUAUACUAAAUCUUUGAGAACCAUCGUUAAUUCAUUAUACUAAAUCUUUGAUAUUUGUGUAGAUUUUGUAGAAGCAACUUAUGUCGGUAACACAUAGGGAAUAUUUGUUUUGUUUAGUUAGAUAGUUAAUAUCACCUAAAAUUUAAGUGGGGUGUGCGUGCGUCAAGAGCAGGAACAGUCAGACCAGUAAAGUUUUUGGCACUCAAAUGUCGAAAUUUGCGUUACCCCCAUUUGAAAAAAUAUAGCACUUACCCCUCAAUUGUAUGGAAAAAAUAGACGAUGUUACAAAAAUUAAUUUUUAAAUUUUCGUAAAAUAAAAUAUUUUGAUAAUACCAAAACUACUCUUUUUUAAACAUGUAAAUAAUAAACAUAAUUAGUAAAAUCCCACCACUGAAACAUAAAUAAUUAACAAUACCCCAAAUCGAUUUGCAAAAGAAUUUGAAGGAGAAGAUAAAUUUUUAGGAAAAAAGAUGAAAUUUGUUUAAGAAAUUUGUUAAAUUUAAAGAACAUGAAAUUUAUUUGAGAAAAAUUAGGUUUAUUUAUAAACUUUGGGGGAUUUUGGAUUUUUGGAAAAAACAACAAAGUUGACCGUUAGAUUAAGUACUAAAUAGAUGGAUAAGAUUAUGACACAUGUCAUUAUUACUAGAAUAAAAAAGGUACUUUUGGUAUUAUCGAAAUAUUUUAUUUAAAAAAAUUUUAAAAAUUGAUUUUUGUAACACCGUUAAAUUUUUCCAUCCAGUUGGGGGUAACUGCUAUAUUUUUUCAUAUAGGGGUAACUCAAAUUUCGACUAUCAAAUGGGAGGUAAGUGCCUAAAGAGUUAAUUGUUUUUUCUGUCUAAGAAAUAAUUUCUUGCAUCUAUCUUAUUUUUUUUUAUUUAUUGUAGAUUAUGAAACUGGUGCCAUAUUAUGGAGAGUUUGAUUCCAUACACUGAUGUGGAUCUGUUGGUGCAGAAUCCUUAAAUUGAAGAAGAUUAACAUUUCAUCAGACUCCAAGAGAUAACACAGCUAUUAAUACACGGAGUCUAUAUUUUUAAGUGCACACAGUCUAUUACAAACAUGAACACAAACAAACUGUUUUGCAUAAGUUGAUGCCCAUGGUGAAUGAGCUGCAAAGUUAGUACAAAUAACGUUAAGGUGAUGGAUAUCUUCAGUAAAAUUUAAGAAUACAUGAGAGGAAUGUGAGAAAUCAAUCCUUUAAUAAGAGAUUAGGAGUUAAUUGAAAAGUAAAAUUAAAUUGAACAAGGCAGAGCCUAGAGGUUAAAGAUACAAAAGAAGAAGGUGAGAAAUCACACUGUGAGCAAACAAAUAAAUACAAACAGAUUACAGAGGUAUCACCAGUCCUUUAACAACCCCAUCACAAUUGCAAAAAAAGCUGUUGGCCCACGACAUACUACUUUAUCGUUUACGUCCCUAUAAAACAGCCAUUCCAGGUUAUAACAGAGAAAUCAUAUUUAACAAAAAGUAAAGAACAAAAAGUAAAGAAACGGUUCACAAAUCUUCAGAUGUGCUUCACAACACCAUGGCCAUAUUGAGUUUGCACUCUUAAUUACACACUCAACCUUCAAGCAACAAAUAAAAUGCAGGUUCAGAACUGAGAUUGUGUUACUCAGUCAAUUUAAAUCACUUAACAUUCUUCAAGUUCUAUGUGUAUAUAGGCUGUGGUUCAAUGUUCGGAAAAGACUGAUUACAAGAAGCAUGAAACUCAUUGCUGGUCGAAAUCAAUUUUGAGUUGGAACACGGGGACAAUGAAAGGAAUGUAACUAGAAAAAUAAUUUGUCUUUCAUUCAAUUGGAGGAUCUCUAACGCAUUGUGUACAUUAGGUUUUCCUAUUUUCUGGUUCCCUAACUCGCAUUCUUUAGGCAAGAAGAUAUUGCAUAUAAGACUUUUGUUAUUUUCUUUCUCCCAUAGGCAAGAAGGAACUGUGUAUUAAAAGUUUAAGUCAGUGAUAAAUAUAAAGAGUUUAGGUCAGGUGGCUAUAUACAUUAGACAGUGGCUUGCGUUUCUUAUUUAUUCUUUCUCAUAUGCAGAAAGAAGCUACUUAUAAAGAGUAUAAAGAAGGUAAAAUGAUUAAAAAAUACAAUGUACUUUCACAAAUUUUUCACUUUAUACAAUGUACUAAAAUCACGCCAAAAAAUCAAUUUACUUUGAAAAAAAAUUCACGUUAUACAAUCUGUCUAAAAUUGACUAACGGACUGCUUACGUGACUAAUAAUUAUCUACAUGUAUUUAUUUUUUUUAAAGAAAUGCUGAGUUGUAAAAUUAAAAUCAACACAUCUACUUUAAAACGUGUCAUCAGAUCAUGUCAACAAAUGUUUACAUCUAAACCGUCCAUUAAUCCCAAGAUGUUAGAGAUAUAGAUGUAUUAUUUUUUUUAUUGUUAUCUCUAUGAUAGAAAAUAUCAAACAUAGGAACUAUGAAACCCUAAAUCAACAUUUCUUCCAUCUCUCUUUCUCAUUGCAACAUUGAACCCUAAAUCUUCUCUUUAAUUCUUCAAACCCUAAUUUUAAUUAACCAUUUUCUCACAACUAAAACCCCUACUUUCAAUCAAACACUAAUGUAUGGUGAAUUGGUGAAUCUCAAAAAGAAUCGGUGUGGAACAAUCUUGUUGUGUGUGUACAAGAAAAAUCUUCUUUCAAAUAAGUAGUAAGUAGUAGUUAGUUUAACACUAAAAGAUGAAGACACAAAAGCUAGGGUUUGAAAUUGAAUUGGAGAUUUGAAUUGAGGAUUUACAGAUUUGGGGAUUUUUACAAUUGUGAAUUCAAUUGUUAAAAUAGGGAAGAAGGGGGUCAAUAAUAUGAGAAACAUGUGCCUCAUUUGUUUAAUUUUUUUUUUAAAAAAAAUACACGUAGAUAAUUAUUGGCCACGUAAGCAAUCUGUUAGCUAAAGUUUUAAACAGAUUGUAUAACGUGAAUUUUUUUUCAAAGUAAAUUGUUAUUUUGACGUGAUUUUUAGUACAUUGUAUAAAGUGAAAAAAUUGUGAAAAAGUACGUUGUAUUUUUUGAUCAUUUUACCUCAAAAGAAUUUUAGCAAUUGUAACAUUAAAAGAGUUUAGACCAUGUGAUCCUAUAUACAUUACACCACUGAAUCGCUCCAUCCCCUUUUCUCGUCUAAUAUGUAUUAAAAUAUUAAAUUAUAAUGAGCUUUCAUUCAUACGCAGAAACAAAUUGCGUAAAUUAUAAACAUAAAAAAAAAAAUACACAACAACAACAUUCGCAUAGAUUAAAAUUAUAGAAAAACCAAAUUUUAGGUAUUAGAGAUUGUUUAGAAUAGGAUUUUCUGACAAUUUCAGAACGCUCUAUUCUCCUAUAUCCUUUCUAGCGCUAAUGUGUAUUCUAUCCCUCCUGCUCUGCACAACGCAUUAGUCUUAGAGAUGCUCUUAUUCUCAUUUUUUUUAAGUUGUCAUUCUAAUGUUACAUUCAAAUUCAGCAAAGAGGCACUAACAAGAGUUGCAUUUGUGUGAUUUUGUCAUUUAAGUGUACAAGCUAGCAAUUUGACAACUAGAGUUUUUCACAAUGGUUAAUGGUUAUCUAGAUGCCUGUCUAUGUAUACAACUGGCACAACCAACGCAACAUAAAACAAAGACAGAAAAAGAAAACAGUUGCAUACCGUUGAAAAGUGAUGUUGAAUUUAGCACUCCAUCUUCACCAUUGUACCUUAGUAGCCGAUUUGAAUGGGACAAGACUCGGAAUGUAAGACAUUACUUUAAGAGGCGCAUUUUUGAUUCCACGAAUCUUGAGCUUUCUAGUUGUUCUUUGUUUUGAAUCAUAAAGAACUAAAUGGAUGCUAUCAAAGAUUAAAAUCUUAUCACUAUUGAAGAAGUGCAAUGGUAUCACCCGCCUACCAAUUUCGUCAUUCUUGUUAAGAAUGGUGCAUGACCUCAAACGGCAUACCGAAGGAAAAAGUGUUUCAUCAAUGGCAAAUUGUUGAGUCCAUGAAUCCAUUAGACCAUAAUUGUUCAUUGCCCAAAUUUGAAUAUUACCAGUAGGGAAAUAACAUAACAUAGAAAGUUUUCCUCUCAGAAUCCCAACUCCGGUAAUACUAGCUCUUUCCCUAAACUGAUUAGGUGACAACAGGUGUUGAAAGCUUGUCCCCUUCAUGUCAAAAGAGACUAUAGUUUCAAUCUCAAGUCUAUCUUCAUGAACUGCUACCCAAUGAAGAGAUCCAUUAAGGUAAAUCCCAGGAAUAUCUCCAUUUAAAAUUCUGUAAGGGACACCAAAGGUACUCAGACAUGUAGCUUGUCCAUCAUUAUUCAGGGAGUAAACAUCAACUAGAGAAUCACAGUCAUCAUAAAUAGACAAACUGCGGCGAACAUUUACAAGUUUGUAUUCACCAACAACAGAAUCAUAAGCAAGGCCAAAAGCAGAACAAUCAUGAACAUAUAAGGAUUUUCCUACAUUAAAAAACUUGCACUCUCUAGUACAAGGAUUCAGUAGGCAUAACUUAGACGGUGGCAUACACAAGCAAAUAAACCCAUUACAAGUAGCCAAAACUUCGGUUUCAGAACCAAUUUCUUUAAAUGGAUUUAUGAUAUGUUCUGCAUCAACUUCCUCAUCAUCAAAAGAAGAAAAGGAAGAAGAAUAAAACUGUGUCCUUCGUUCAAUACUAUAAAUAGUUGAUAAGAAAUUGGGACAAUUUAUUUCCAUUGAUCGAUUCAAGUGGGUUUGAAUAAAAUUAGAAAAAGGAUCUGUCAUCAAAUCGCACCAAGGUUUGUAUACCAAACUGAAUUGUUCUCUGAGUGAUUUUGCUGGAAGCCUCGUUAGAAUCUCGAAGAUUAUAUCAUCAUGAAUAAUAGCAUCUGUUGUUGACAUUAUUGUUUUUUGAAUUGCGAGAUUCUCUUCUUCGAAUCGUGAACCAGUAUGUGUUGUUGACAUUUUUUUCUAAAUCAAUUCGUAUUUAGGGUUUCUGAGAAUUUUUAGAUUGAGAGAGCUAUCCGCCGCCACUCUUUCUCUCUAGCAGUAUCGGGUUUUAUAGAUCAAAAGAAUUGGGCCGUACGACCAAAUUCCAAUUUUCUUCUUUCAAGUUUCAACAACUCAUAAGCGUCCGUGAGCCCGUAACCAGAUCUACAGACAGAAACUUUGGCUAUGAACUCUAUAACGUACAGGAGCGAAAUAUUCUCAGCAAUAUUAUCUAUGCAAAUUUUGAGGACCAUCAUUAAUUCAUUAUACUAAAUCUUUGAGAACCAUCGUUAAUUCAUUAUACUAAAUCUUUGAUAUUUGUGUAGAUUUUGUAGAAGCAACUUAUGUCGGUAACACAUAGGGAAUAAUUGUUUUGUUUAGUUAGAUAGUUAAUCACCUACAAUUUAAGGGGGGUGUGCGUGCGUCAAGAGCAGGAACAGUCACACCAGUAAAGUUUUUGGCACUCAAAUGUCGAAAUUUGCGUUACUCCCCAUUUGAAAAAAUAUAGCACUUACCCCUCAAUUGUAUGGAAAAAAUAGACGAUGUUACAAAAAUUAAUUUUUAAAUUUUCGUAAAAUAAAAUAUUUUGAUAAUACCAAAACUACUCUUCUUUAAACAUGUAAAUAAUAAACAUAAUUAGUAAAAUCCCACCACUGAAACAUAAAUAAUUAACAAUACCUCAAAUCGAUUUACAAAAGAAUUUGAAGGAGAAGAUGAAUUUUUAGGAAAAAAGAUGAAAUUUGUUUGAGAAAUUUGUUAAAUUUAAAAAACAUGAAAUUUAUUUGAGAAAAAUUAGGUUUAUUUAUAAACUUUGGGGGAUUUUGGAUUUUUGGGAAAGACAACAAAGUUGACCGUUAGAUUAAGUACUAAAUAGAUGGAUAAGAUUAUGACACAUGUCAUUAUUACUAGAAUAAAAAAGAUAUUUUUGGUAUUAUCAAAAUAUUUUAUGCCAACAAGGAUGACACAUCGCUUUCUAUGCUGCUUGUGGACUUUCAGAAUGCCUUCAACCUUGUUGAUCGGUCUGCUAUGCUACGAGAGGUACGCAAUCAUUGUCCAUCUAUUGCUCUAUGGGUCGAAUACCUCUAUUGUCAACCUGCUCGAUUGUAUCUAGGGUCUACUCAUAUCUGGUCAGCAGCUGGGAUACAGCAGGGGGACCCUUUGGGGCCUCUUCUCUUUGCUUUGGUCUUGCAUCCAUUGAUACACCGCAUUCAGUCAGAAUGCCACUUGGAGUUGCAGGCAUGGUACUUAGAUGAUGGUACUCUGAUUGGUAAUACAGAACAGGUGGCUAGAGCUAUUCGUAUCAUUCAGGAAAGAGGACCACCUCUUGGGCUCGUGCUUAAUGUUUCUAAGACAGAGUUGUUCUGGCCUUCUGUUAAUCCUGUAUGCUCCUAUCCAGAUAUCUUUCCGGCUGGUAUAUCAUGUCCUCAGCGAGGGGUUAAGUUGCUUGGAGGGGCUGUAAGUAUUGAUGCAUCCUUUAUUAUGGGUAAUGUUCGUCAACGAGUGGAUAAGACACUUCAGCUUAUGGAUUUAUUACCACAACUACAGGAUCCGCAAUGUGAGCUGGCACUUUUACGUUGUUGUAUGGGAAUAUCUAAGCUCACAUUUGCUCUCCGUACUUGCCCCCCUGAUUAUGUUCAGGAAACAGCCGAAUGGUUUGACCACAAGCUCCGUGCAGCCCUUCAGAAUAUUGUGGUUUCUGAUGGACCUGGUUUUGGCGAUCUACAGUGGCGUAUGGCAACCCUCCCAUUGCGUAUGGGCGGACUUGGUAUUUAUUGUACUACUGAUGUUAUGAAGUUUGCUUUCGUAGCUUCACGUACGCAAACCAAGGAUCUCCAAGACCACAUUCUUCGGGGUUGUGCGGCUGCACCUAUGGGUAAUGUUUUCGAUACUGCCAUUGCUAGUUUACAUCUUUCUAUACCUGAUUUUGAUCUCAGUAAUCUUGCUCCAACUGCUACCGUCCCCUUCAGACCCCAACAUGUCUUGGCGGAAGCAUACUACAGCAAGAUUAGUUAUGGUCUUGAGAGGGAAUUUGAGUUGUCAGCUAGACAAAAAGCCGUGAUUGGAUGUGUGCAAGCAGAACAUGCCAAAGAUUUUCUCCUUGCCAUCCCGAUGGAAGGGCUUGGACAACGCAUGACGCCGGUAGAAUAUCGUGCCAUUCUUCGUUAUCGAUUGAUGAUCCCUCUUUAUUCAGAUGGUGAACUUUGUCCAGUGUGCAAGAAGAGCAGACUUGAUGCCUUUGGGGACCAUGCGGCCCAUUGUAAGCAUUACCCCGGCUUCAAGUACAGGCAUGACCACGUUAGAGAUAUCUUGUGUGAUGUGUUCUGGCGGGCUGGAGUACAGGUUAAGAAGGAGGCUCCUGUUAACUUUCUUACUGAUCCUAAGGAAGGAAGAUCGACAUUACGUCCUGCUGAUAUUCUGGUCUAUAACUGGUCUGAAGGUAAACAUGCGUGUGUUGAUGUUACAGGGGCGUCUCCGAUGGUUGGCCUGGGUGCUGGGAUUUUUGAGGUGGGGCUAGCAGCUAGCAAUGCAGCAGCAGCAAAAGUGGAGAAACAUGACGGAGCUUGUAGGGCUAACCAACAUAGUUUCAUCCCCUUUGCAUUUGACACAUUUGGAUUGCUAGGCUCAGAAGCAGUUGAGCUCCUCAGGAGAGUGCAAAAGGUAAUGGAUAGCAACGUGAUGACUGCUGGUUCGAACGAAUAUGUAUUUAGGAGAAUCGGGUUUGCUAUCCAGAAAGGACUUGUCGCGCAGUUUGUAGCGCGUUUGUCCUUUACUUUUGUGUAAUUUGUUGAGCUUAUCAAUAAAAUUUUAUUAUUAGGAAAAAAAAUUUAAAAAUUGAUUUUUGUAACACCGUUAAAUUUUUCCAUCCAGUUGGGGGUAACUGCUAUAUUUUCUCAAAUAGGGGUAACACAAAUUUCGACUUUCAAAUGGGAGGUAAGUGCCAAAAUCUCAAUUUUUUAUCAUUCUGGUCCCCAACUUAACUUGAUCAAGGGAGUUAAUUGUUUUUUCGUCUAAGAAAUAAUUUCUUGCAUCUAUCUUAUUUUUUUUUAUUUAUUGUAGAUUAUGAAACUGGUGCCAUAUUAUGGAGAGUUUGAUUCCAUACACUGAUGUGGAUCUGUUGGUGCAGAAUCCUUAAAUUGAAGAAGAUUAACAUUUCAUCAGACUCCAAGAGAUAACGCAGCUAUUAAUACACGGUGUCUAUAUUUUUAAGUGCACACAGUCUAUUACAAAUAUGAACACAAACAAACUGUUUUGCAUAAGUUGAUGCCCAUGGUGAAUGAGAUGCAAAGUUAGUACAAAUAAGGUAAAAUGAUCCAAAAAUACAAUGUACUUUCACUUUUUUUUCACUUUAUACAAUGUACAAAAAAUCACGUCAAAACAUCAAUGUACUUUGAAAUUUUUUCCACGUUAUACAAUCUGUCUAAAACAUGCUAACGGACUGCAGACGUGGCUAAUAUUUAUCUACGUGUAUUUUUUCUUUUAAAAUAAAGUUAAACAACAUUUCCAACACAUCAAAAUGAGGCACAUGUUUCUCAUGUGAUUGACUCCUUCUCUAUUUUCACAAUUCAAUUCAACAAAUCUGUAAAUCCCUAAUUAAAAUCCCGAAUUCAAUUCAACAAAUCUGUAUCUUUCAAGAAUGGUACAAAGAUCAAUUAUGUUUCUUUCAUCUCUAAACACCUUUGCCUGAGAUUAAUAAUUUUUGUUAAAACAAAGAACAAACUACAAUACUACAUGAAAUGAUUGAGAGAACUAAGAAGAGUGAUGAGAAACAAAAACUUUAUUACCUGGGAGAUUUGAUAUAUGAAAAUGGGAGAUUUGUUAAAAGUCAAUAAAUGAUAUAUGAAAAUAGGAGAUUUGAAGUAUACUUAAUUAAACAACAUAAGAUAUUAAUGUUUUGUUGUGUUUAUAUCAACAUCGACAACUGAAAUAGCUGAAGGUGUUUUCUCUUAUUAUCAUCUUUAGAUGGACAGUCUCUCUAACAAGCCUAAUUUGCUUCAAUGCCGUCAUUUUUCAUUUCCUCCAUAGUACUGUACUGUUCUUCUUAUAUUUCGGUUACUCUUGGCAUUGUAUUCACUUCAUUGAUUUCAACUUCACCCCCUGAUUCAGAGAUCUUUGUGAUCCUCUGCAACUCCUCGAAAUCAUCAGUAGGGUGUGCAAUCAGAUGAUUGCCAUUGCCAUUUGAUUGUUCUGCAAGAAUUCAAAGUGAGAAAAAUUGGGGAUUUUAAUUAGGGAUUUACAGAUUUGUUGAAUUGAAUUGUGAAAAUAGAGAAGAAGUCAGUCACAUGAGAAACAUGUGCCUCAUUUUGAUGUGUUGGAAAUGUUGUUUAACUUUAUUUUAAAAGAAAAAAUACACGUAGAUAAAUAUUAGCCACGUCUGCAGUCCGUUAGCAUGUUUUAGACAGAUUGUAUAACGUGGAAAAAAUUUCAAAGUACAUUGAUGUUUUGACGUGAUUUUUUGUACAUUGUAUAAAGUGAAAAAAAAGUGAAAGUACGUUGUAUUUUUUGAUCAUUUUACCUACAAAUAACGUUAAAGUGAUGGAUAUCUUCAGUAAAAUUUAAGAAUACAUGAGAGGAAUGUGAGAAAUCAAUCCUUUAAUAAGAGAUUAGGAGUUAAUUGAAAAGUAAAAUUAAAUUGAACAAGGCAGAGCCUAGAGGUUAAAGAUACAAGAGAAGAAUGUGAGAAAUCACACUGUGAGCAAACAAAUAAAUACAAACAGAUUACAGAGGUAUCACCAGUCCUUUAACAACCCCAUCACAAUUGCGAAAAAGCUGUUGGCCCACGACAUACUACUUUAUCGUUUACGUCCCUAUAAAACAGCCAUUCCAGGUUAUAACAGGGAAAUCAUAUUUAACAAAAAGUAAAGAAACGGUUCACAAAUCUUCAGAUGUGCUUCACAACACCAUGGCCAUAUUGAGUUUGCACUCUUGAUUACACACUCAACCUUCAAGCAACAAAUAAAAUGCAGGUUCAGAACUGAGAUUGUGUUACUCAGUCAAUUUAAAUCACUUAACAUUCUUCAAGUUCUAUGUGUAUAUAGGCUGUGGUUCAAUGUUCGGAAAAGACUGAUUACAAGAAGCAUGAAACUCAUUGCUGGUCGAAAUCAAUUUUGAGUUGGAAC